AUCGUGGCGGAGUGCUCCUUCUAACCCUAAAUCUGGGUCUCCUCCUGUCCUCCUCGUUCGCUGUUUUCUUGACUGGCUUUCAGCAAACGACGGGAGGUGUUUGUCGGAAUGGCCGUUAACGAACAACAACAAAAAAAAAAGCCAAGCAACUCACUCCGUCGUGCUCAGUGUCCCGCGCAGACACGCCGUGAAACCCCUGCCGUGGUCAGCUUGGCUGCCGCGAAGAGUUCGUCUCUGCUGCUCCGGCGUCUCCGUGUCGGGACCGUCGCCCGCUGAGCAGAUUAAAACUGAGCAGGGUGACUUUACCGGGCCUCCACUUGGUCCGGCUAGGGAGCCCAGGCUCAAACACCU
This 351-nucleotide telomerase RNA is filed under the name Mola mola (ocean sunfish). RNAcentral's name for it is "Vertebrate telomerase RNA (ENSMMOG00000020853.1)". It matches the Rfam family "Vertebrate telomerase RNA". From Rfam's summary of the family: Telomerase is a ribonucleoprotein reverse transcriptase that synthesises telomeric DNA. Lineage: Eukaryota; Metazoa; Chordata; Actinopteri; Tetraodontiformes; Molidae. The record is from RNAcentral.